GUAUUUUACAGCCGUGCAUCGUUUGUGUGUUUGCAAAACAGUGAUAUUGUCCUGGAAAGUAAGAAGUAAAAAUGUCGACACCCGCAAAGCAUUUGUUUUGUGACCAAAAUAUGGUGGAAUCGCAAAAUGAACCGCUGGAACCUGCUGUGCCAGUUAUAGUGCAUGGACCAACUGUUAUGCCCUUAUCGAGCGUACCAACUGGCCGACCAAGAUGCAAAGUGAAUCGAGCUAAUCGAGAAUCAUCCGUAACAAGUGUUGCUGAAGUUGUGUCUCCUGUUACUACGCAUUCUAUCGGUAACAUAUACGGAAUGCAGCCAUCGACGUCGGCAAUCAAUGUGAAUUCUGCUGCCUCAUCCGUUGUUCCUUCGAUUAAUUUGAAUACGGCAGCUUUGCUUCCUUCUGGGACCGUGAUCCGGAUGUAGCAGAUUUACUGCUAACAGUAGGUCACAUCUAACUUAGCAUUGCCAAAAGCCAGGUAAAAAGACGUUAACCACCAGAAGCGCAAGCGCAUAGCCAGCAGCCAAGUAAAGAAACAUUAAACACCAGAAGCGUAAACGUUCUCGUGUUUUACCCCAGAACAUAAAUAAGGAAAACGCGCCACAGAUAAGCAAUUAAACUUCCGUAAAACCCAGGCAUAAACAGGAAAACGUUCGCUACAUCCACAAUGCACGGAUAGUUGAUAAAACACAGGCACACUAGGUAUAAUUUAAGAAACACCUGUAAAAAACCCAAACCCGGAAAACCAAGCGAAAGCUCACAUUUGACAAACAUCUGGUUGCCAAAUGUGUCACAACUUUCACACCAUAUUUGUUAUAAAUAAAGCUCGAACUGAUGGAGAAGUCAGUUCACCUUCCAUAGACACGUA
Molecule: long non-coding RNA, 865 nt
Organism: Anopheles arabiensis
Lineage: Eukaryota; Metazoa; Arthropoda; Insecta; Diptera; Culicidae
Exons: 2
Source: RefSeq, a predicted model, not a curated record